RNAcentral lists this ribosomal RNA (253 nucleotides) under uncultured bacterium. RNAcentral describes it as "partial 16S ribosomal RNA". It matches the Rfam family "Bacterial small subunit ribosomal RNA", at positions 524 to 776 of the family's 1533-position model. The record is from RNAcentral.
UACAGAGGUCCCGAGCGUUGUUCGGAAUUACUGGGCGUAAAGGGUGCGUAGGCGGCCUUCUAAGUCGAACGUGAAAUCCCCGGGCUCAACCCGGGAACUGCGUCCGAUACUGGAAGGCUUGAAUCCGGGAGAGGGAUGUGGAAUUCCAGGUGUAGCGGUGAAAUGCGUAGAUAUCUGGAGGAAUACCGGUGGCGAAGGCGGCUACCUGGCCCAACAUUGACACUGAGACCCGAAAGCGUGGGGAUCAAACAGG